CCUACGGGUGGCAGCAGUGGGGAAUAUUGCACAAUGGGGGAAACCCUGAUGCAGCGACGCCGCGUGAGUGAAGAAGGAGUGCGGUAUGUAAAGCUCUAACAGCAGGGAAGAAAAUGACGGUACCUGAGUAAGAAGCCCCGGCGAACUACGUGCCAGCAGCCGCGGUAAUACGUAGGGGGCAAGCGUUAUCCGGAUUUACUGGGUGUAAAGGGAGCGUAGACGGCAGCACAAGUCUGGAGUGAAAUGCAGGGGCUUAACCCCGGAACUGCUUUGGAAACUGUGCAGCUAGAGUGCAGGAGAGGUCAGUGGCAUUCCUCGUGUAGCGGUGACAUGCGUAGCUAUUAGGAGGCACCCCAGUGGCG
RNAcentral lists this ribosomal RNA (362 nucleotides) under uncultured bacterium. RNAcentral describes it as "partial 16S ribosomal RNA". It matches the Rfam family "Bacterial small subunit ribosomal RNA", at positions 338 to 717 of the family's 1533-position model. The record is from RNAcentral.